Long non-coding RNA from Cyprinus carpio carpio, 1700 nucleotides. The record is from Ensembl. NCBI's taxonomy places the organism in Eukaryota, Metazoa, Chordata, Actinopteri, Cypriniformes, Cyprinidae.
GACGCUCGUCUUUUUUCGUCUUUCAUCUCUCUGUGUCUCUUCUGCAUGGGAUUCUGGGUUGGAACGAUGUGGAAGUGCCUGAGGCUGAACCGGGCCAAUUGAUGAUAUACAAAACAUUAAAGAGUGUAUGUGUGUGUAAUAAGGGUCAAAGUGAGACUAAUGAAACAGGAUCUGUUCCUCACGUAUAAUAUGGCUUCAGAAGACUUGUCAGUGAUAUUUCUAUGGAGCUCAAUAGUAUCUGUCCUCAUGUGCUUUACACUGCAUGUAUAAAAGGGUUUCACUUUAUUUCGAUAGUCCACUGUAGACAUUCAACUAAUUAUAAGUAGCUUUGUAACAUGUUAACUAACUGUAAAAUUUAGAGCCACAUGUCAGCUAACUCUCAUUAUUUAUAACUACGUCAACUAACAUUCAUUUACAACUAAAUGUUAACUAACAUUUAUUAAUUUACAACUGCAUGGCAACUAACAUUAAUUUACAACUACAUGUCAACUAACAUUAAUUUACAACUACUCAACUAACGUUAAUUUACAACUACGUCAACUAACAUUAAUUUACAACUACAUGUCAACUAACAUUAAUUUACAACUACAUGAUAACUAACAUUAAUUUACAACUAUGUCAGCUAACAUUAAUUUACAACUACGUCAACUAACAUUAACUUACAACUACAUGUCAACUAACAUUAAUUUACAACUACAUGUCAACUAACAUUAAUUUACAACUGCAUGGAAACUAACAUUAAUUUGCAACUACGUCAACUAACAUUAACUUACAACUGCAUGGUAACUAACAUUAAUUUGCAACUACAUGGCAACUAAAAUUAAUUUGCAACUACAUCAACUAGCAUUAAUUUACAACUACAUGUCAACUAACAUUCAUUAUCAACUAAAUGUCAACUAACAUUUAUUUACAAUUGCAUAGCAACUUACAUUUAUUUACAACUACAUAGCAAGUAACAUUAAGUUAUAUUAGUAUAGUUAUAAGAAUGUCUGAUGUGGACUAUCAAUAUAAAGUGUUAUGUAACAGAGCAGCUUGAAUGUUCUUCUCAGCGACACUGAAAAAUGAAAGUCAUACAGUUUUGACCAACAUGAGGGGGAGCAAAUGAUGACAGAAUCUUUAUCUUUGGCAGUUGUUGUAGGAGUUUAGUGCGUGAUUCCAGCUGCCGAUUGUGUCCGUCUCAUUCAUAACAGCUGGAGUUCUGAUGUAGUGAAAGAGCUUGUAAGCAGGUAUGUCUCAGCAAAGUGAAGUAAGACUUUUGAAACUUUCUGCUGUAUGUGUCUGUGUGUGUGUGUGUUUACUUCAUUUCUCACCUCAGAAGGGAUUCUGGCUAUUCUCUUGCGCUCUUUCUCAGGUUCAGUAUGUAGGGAACAGCACUAAUGAGUGAAGAUCAUCAUGACUCAUCAGCAGCUCUGGGGGAGGAACACCAGACUCAUGACAAAACCUUGAUGGUGCCAGAACACUUGCCGCCCGCCCAGUCCCACAAUCACACCACCGACACAAACAUGUUUUUUUUUAAGCACACACAAAAAGGCCUCUAAUCAUUAUGACUUCAAAGUCACUGUCGUCAUUGGGUGAAACUCGUGUGGAGGGUGUGAGGCUCAUAAUCACACACACACUCGCCACUUGUGUUUAUUCUCUCAAAAAAUCAACAGUAUCCAACGUGCCAAGUGCAGCGUUCAUGCGCUCUUCUCAGAGGACAU